This is a long non-coding RNA of Tupaia belangeri chinensis (Chinese tree shrew), 247 nucleotides long. RefSeq lists it as uncharacterized. The record is from RefSeq and is a predicted model, not a curated record. NCBI's taxonomy places the organism in Eukaryota, Metazoa, Chordata, Mammalia, Scandentia, Tupaiidae. The transcript is spliced from 3 exons.
GUGAGAUGUAUACUCUCUGCAUAACAGAGCUGAGAACAGGGGGACUUCUACAUUGUGCUCCGGAGAUCUCAGGAGGUUUGCCUGCUCAGGUUGGGACAAGCAGUGUGGGAAAUACUCCACCCGUCUCUCUGAAGUACCAUCUCCACCCUUAGCAGAGGCCUCAGGACUGCUUCAGGAGCAGGAGAAAAAUAUAGCAGCCCAACAGUGUCCUGAUGCUGAGAUCCACCUCCAACCUCAGCCAGCCCCA